Molecule: ribosomal RNA, 253 nt
Filed under: uncultured bacterium
Lineage: Bacteria
Description: partial 16S ribosomal RNA
Rfam family: Bacterial small subunit ribosomal RNA
Source: RNAcentral
UACAGAGGUGGCAAGCGUUGUUCGGAAUUACUGGGCGUAAAGGGCGAGUAGGUGGCCAUCUAAGUCAGACGUGAAAUCCCCCGGCUUAACCUGGGAACUGCGUCUGAUACUGGACGGCUAGAGUAUGGGAGAGGGAUGUAGAAUUCCAGGUGUAGCGGUGAAAUGCGUAGAUAUGUGGAGGAAUACCGGUGGCGAAGGCGGCCUCCUGGUUCAAUACUGACGCUGAGGUGCGAAAGCAUGGGGAGCGAACGGG